UAAGUUUAUACAUUAGGUUUGCAAAAGAUAAUCAUGGUCUUUCUGAAGUAUGAUUUAGUCUAUCGAUGACUAUUUUGAACAAUAAAUACUCAAGUAUCAUGCCAUGGUAGCAAUUAGCAUCGAAUUUCACUUUCAUCUCAUCUUCAUCCAUACAAUAUAUUCAAUCAAAUCGAACCCAUUCUAGGCUUCUUUUGAUUCUUUGUUCAACGUAUUCAAUAUCUAACUUUAAUUUUCUUUUUGCUGUUCCGCUCAAUCAAAGCUUUUCUUCUUAGGAAUAUGGUUUGUGAUUGUGGAAUUGGGGGAAAUCGAGAAUAAUGAAAAGGGUUUAUCAUCUAGUGUUGGUCUGUGUUUUUUACCAGUCAAUUGAGCUGCUUCAUGGAAAAGCAUCGUUAGUUUUUAAUCAGAGUUAACCCAUUAUGUUGUUGGACCAAAUGUGCUCUAUUGUAAGGGACUAAAAACGGUUAGAGGUAUAUUUAAAGGAUAAAAAUUGACCUGUCCAUAAAUAAGGGAUAAUUUUGGCUAAAAACUAGUACCUUUUAAUGAUUCCGUCAAUGACUAUCGCUUUUGAGUGAUUUGACCUUUCAUUUUGAAGUCAAGAGAAAAGGAGAUUUUUAUCCCAUUUAAAAGUUAUAGGGGAUAAUAUUUCAAAAGAGUUUACACUGAAUGAGACGCAUGAAAGUGUUGUACAUUCAUAUGAUAAUGAGAUUCUAUAUAAUCUCUCAUUUCUACAUUUCAGGUGUAAGUUUUUACCAAAAUUGAAAUCCUAAUUAAUGGUAUCCUCCUUUUCCAUUUCUCUCUGUCUAUAAUCACUCAUUAUAAAGUCACUCUCUCUGUGUGUGUGUGUGUGUAUUCUAUCAAUCUUAAGUAGCAAAAGAUGGCAGGGGCUCAAUGUUGCGAGAACCCACCAACAUUGAGCUCAAGUAGCGGAGUUGGGUCCGUUUUAGAAAUUGGAGGCUUCAAAGCAUACGUCUCUGGUCCUUCCUCUUCCAAACUCGCCAUUCUUCUCGUCUCCGACGUUUAUGGUUAUGAAGCACCAAAUCUAAGGAAACUUGCUGACAAAGUUGCAGCUGCAGGAUACUAUGUGGUAGUUCCUGAUUUUCUUUAUGGUGAUCCUUAUAAUCCUGAAAAUACAGAGAAGCCUUUAUCAAUCUGGGUACAAUCACAUGGAACAGAUAAAGGAUUUGAAGAUGCAAAAAAAGUUGUUGCUGCUCUCAAAGAUAAAGGUAUAUCUGCAAUUGGGGCUGCAGGAUUUUGCUGGGGUGCAAAGGUGGUUACUGACCUAGCUAAGUCUGACUACAUUCAAGCUGCAGUGCAAUUGCAUCCAUCAUUAGUCAAAGUUGAUGAUAUUAAAGAGGUUAAGGCACCAAUAGCUAUUUUAGCAGCUGAGAUAGAUAGAAUCUCUCCUCCCGAGCUUAUUAAGCAGUUUGAGGAGAUUUUAUCAUCAAAACCUGAGGUGGACAGCUUUGUCAAAAUAUUUCCUAGUGUUAAGCAUGGGUGGACAGUAAGAUACAAUGUUGAAGACCAAGAGGCUGUGCAGAGUGCUGAAGAAGCCCAUCGGCACAUGUUAGAUUGGUUUACCAAGUAUGUCAAGUGAGUGCAAAGGUACAGUCAGAAGGGAAGUGGAUGUAGCAGUCUCUGAGGUCCCCAUUCCUUGAUCUGACUUGACUAUAACUAAUCGAUAAUACAGGGAUCAGGAGCUGCUGCAUUUUGUUGAUCAGGAGCAGUAGUAUGUACUUCUUCAAGAAGAGGGGGAUGCUUGUUGUAAGAUAUGAGUUCUGCUGCUUUCUUUCUCAAUUUGUUGUUAAUGGUACUCGUGAGAACAAAGGGAUCAAAUCUUCCUUUAAUGGUUCCCAACUUUGUUUUUGGAUCAAACAUAACAUCAAAUACACCUAGCAUAAGAGUCCACAUCAUACAUAACAUCAAAUACACCUAGCAUAUAAGGAGGUUUUAGGCCUUCUUGGCCUUUUACAAUGUUGAAUUUAAGAAAAUGUCUUUUUUAGAUC
This is an RNA transcript of Nicotiana tabacum (common tobacco), 2003 nucleotides long. It is a transcript of the gene named endo-1,3;1,4-beta-D-glucanase-like, with no coding region annotated. Lineage: Eukaryota; Viridiplantae; Streptophyta; Magnoliopsida; Solanales; Solanaceae. The record is from RefSeq and is a predicted model, not a curated record.